RNAcentral lists this ribosomal RNA (486 nucleotides) under uncultured bacterium. RNAcentral's name for it is "partial 16S ribosomal RNA". It matches the Rfam family "Bacterial small subunit ribosomal RNA", at positions 28 to 507 of the family's 1533-position model. The record is from RNAcentral.
GACGAACGCUGGCGGCGUGCUUAACACAUGCAAGUCGAACGCUGAAGGCCUGGCUUUUGUUGGGUUGGAUGAGUGGCGAACGGGUGAGUAACACGUGAGUAACCUGCCCUCUUCUUUGGGAUAACGCCCGGAAACGGGUGCUAAUACCGGAUAUUCACUGAUCUUCGCAUGGGGGUUGGUGGAAAGGUUUGUUCUGGUGGGGGAUGGGCUCGCGGCCUAUCAGCUUGUUGGUGGGGUGAUGGCCUACCAAGGCUUUGACGGGUAGCCGGCCUGAGAGGGUGACCGGUCACAUUGGGACUGAGAUACGGCCCAGACUCCUACGGGAGGCAGCAGUGGGGAAUAUUGCACAAUGGGCGAAAGCCUGAUGCAGCGACGCCGCGUGAGGGAUGGAGGCCUUCGGGUUGUAAACCUCUUUCGCUCAUGGUCAAGCCGCAACUGUGGGUUGUGGUGAGGGUAGUGGGUAAAGAAGCGCCGGCUAACUACGUG